Molecule: long non-coding RNA, 1402 nt
Filed under: Homo sapiens (human)
Lineage: Eukaryota; Metazoa; Chordata; Mammalia; Primates; Hominidae
Description: HSALNT0352062
Source: RNAcentral
CUGGCCUCAAGCCAUCCUCCCACCUCAGCCUCCCAAAGUGCUGGGAUUACAUGCAUGAGCCACCACAUCCAGCCUCCCUAAAAUAUUGAAUGCUGUUAAUAAAUCUCCUAAGAAGGUGAUGGGCAAAACUAAUGCAGUAGGAGCUGAAAUCGACCAGGGGGUUCUUAUCCAACAGACAGCAGCAAAACUCUUUGUGUAUCUGCGUUCCUUUCAACAAGUGUGACUUCCUCAAUGGCAUCAUUUGUGAGCGUAACACAGAGCUCAGCAAUAACGUUUCUUCACUAACCCUACCAGGGUUUCAGUUGUGCAAUUUCACCAUUAGCAAAGCUUUUUGCUGAAAUCUGGAUUUUCAAAGGGAGAGUAUCCAGAAACAGAAGAUGCUGAUCUGGGAGGCUCUUCCUAAUAGAACUGCUGCUUCAGUUUAGCUUGAAAAAGCCCACACUCAGUUCCUAAUGACAAACAUCUGAACACCAGGUCUUCCCACGAGCAAGACCAUGCUAUUCCUCCUGCUCGCUCUGUUCUAUAAGCAACCCACAGAUUGCUCCCUGUGAAGAGGAGCCUGCCAGGGAGCAGCAUUCCACCAGAUCCUGAUUUAGCAAGAUAUUUCCGUAUCAUUCCCCCAACCAGCUGGAAGUCCUCCACUGUUCUUGUGUAAAAAUCUAACUCAUCUCGCUGAAUUUCCUGAUUUAAAAGUCUAAUUCAUUUCACCAAAAGUGUGACAGAAGGAAACCAAGUACACCAUCUCUCUCUUACCAAACCAAAGCUAUUGCAUGUGCAUUCUGGGAGAAAAAAAUGGUCCAAAUAUGUUAUGGAGGGGGUGCCAGCCCAGUGUCAUCCUCUUACUAUUGCCAUAGGAUCUUGGCUGAUGGCAUCAGAAGAAAAACAAGUUUAUCGAUUACUUUCAACCAUUAAGCUCACUCCUCCAUGAAAAAUAAGUCACAAGUCCAAUGUCUCUUAUUAAAAUAAGCACUGCAAAAUAUAAAGGACUCACAGUUUUAAAAUGGGACACACGUUCUCUAAGCGGUGAACCACUUUAGAGGUGUACUGUUUACAUUGUAUAAAGUCCCCUGGAGCCAGGGUUAGGAAGCGCAUCUGUUCUUUGGUGUUCUGGGAUGAAGGAGAAAGGAAAAUGUGCUGCCAGAAGUGAGUGGGAAGGAGCCCAUGAGAUAAAGGAAGUAAAUCCAUUUGCUGAUUGCAAUAAUAAUGGUAAUACACGAAGCUAUACAUACAUACAUACAUACAUACAUACAUACAUGCAAACUUUCACAUUUUUUAAAAAAAGAACUUAAGGCUUCCACACAUGUAAUCAGCCCUUAUGAACUCUCCUGAUUAGCUGCAAGGAAAAUCUUCCUUUCUCCUUUUUCCUGCACCAUCCUGGGCUCCCUUUUGACUUUUUUUUUUU